RNAcentral lists this ribosomal RNA (720 nucleotides) under Triticum aestivum (bread wheat). RNAcentral describes it as "partial small subunit ribosomal RNA". The record is from RNAcentral. Lineage: Eukaryota; Viridiplantae; Streptophyta; Magnoliopsida; Poales; Poaceae.
AGGCAAUGGUUGCUGGACUGGAUAGCUAAAGCGCCGUCCUUCCAUUCUACAAUUUUGGCGGUGGCUAUGUGGCAUAUAUGGGAGAACAGGAACAACCAUCGUAACGGUGAGACACUGCUUAAUCCUCUUCGUGUGGUGGGGAAAAUCAAGGCCUAUAUUGAAUUCAUGAACUUAUGUAAUGACAACCCACCAAACUCCUACAGGCGUGAGACUUCUACAUCAACUCAAAAAUGGUCUCCGCCAUCAGAGGGAUGGUUGAUGAUCAACGUCGAUGCUGCCAUCUUCUCCCACUCGGGACGAGCUGGCUAUGGAGUUGUAGUUCGAGAUCAUCUAGGGGCACCCGUGGCAGCAUACCGAGGCUGGUUUGAUCACACCCAAAGUCCUGAAGUGGCAGAAGCUCUUGCUGCAUGUCAGGCCUUAGUCCUUGCUAAAAAUGCUGGAUUUCAGAAGAUUCAGGUAGCCUCUAAUUGCUUGACGCUAAUCAACAAGCUGCAAGGUACAGGCCUAGACAGAUCCCCUAUUGGUGCCAUUGUCCAGGAUAUUAAAUCUGCUGCUACUAUGUUUUUAGCUUGUGAUUUUAAUCAUGUAAAACGUUGCUGUAAUGAGGCAGCCCAUGUCCUUGCAAAAUCUGCAGAAUAUAAUGUUGAAUCUAGCUGGUUUAAUGUGUAUCCUCAUGAGAUCAGGACCAUUAUAUGUAAUCAACAAGUCAUGUAUGAAUGA